Molecule: ribosomal RNA, 465 nt
Filed under: Vreelandella stevensii
Lineage: Bacteria; Pseudomonadati; Pseudomonadota; Gammaproteobacteria; Oceanospirillales; Halomonadaceae
Description: partial 16S ribosomal RNA
Rfam family: Bacterial small subunit ribosomal RNA
Source: RNAcentral
CCUACGGGGGGCAGCAGUGGGGAAUAUUGGACAAUGGGGGCAACCCUGAUCCAGCCAUGCCGCGUGUGUGAAGAAGGCCCUCGGGUUGUAAAGCACUUUCAGUGAGGAAGAACGCCUGGUGGUUAAUACCCAUCAGGAAAGACAUCACUCACAGAAGAAGCACCGGCUAACUCCGUGCCAGCAGCCGCGGUAAUACGGAGGGUGCGAGCGUUAAUCGGAAUUACUGGGCGUAAAGCGCGCGUAGGUGGCUUGAUAAGCCGGUUGUGAAAGCCCCGGGCUCAACCUGGGAACGGCAUCCGGAACUGUCAAGCUAGAGUGCAGGAGAGGAAGGUAGAAUUCCCGGUGUAGCGGUGAAAUGCGUAGAGAUCGGGAGGAAUACCAGUGGCGAAGGAGGCCUUCUGGACUGACACUGACACUGAGGUGCGAAAGCGUGGGUAGCAAACAGGAUUAGAUACCCUAGUAGUC